ACAUAUUGUAUCUUGUAGUCCGUGCUGCAGCUGGCUAUAAAUUUAUAGCCCACUGCUUUUCUCUUACAUUUUUAUCUUCUCGAUAUGUGUUUAUAGUUGGCUUAGAGCAGGUACAAUAGCAUACUAUUAGCCAGCUAUAAGCAUAUUUUAAUGAGAUAAAAGAUGAGAGAGAAGAGCAGCGGGCUACAGAUCUGUAGCCAGCUGCAGCACGGACUCCAAGACGCAGUGUGUGC
RNAcentral lists this unclassified non-coding RNA (233 nucleotides) under Oryza sativa (Asian cultivated rice). RNAcentral describes it as "partial microRNA MIR483c-as precursor". The record is from RNAcentral. Lineage: Eukaryota; Viridiplantae; Streptophyta; Magnoliopsida; Poales; Poaceae.